GCCGCUGUAGCUCAGUCGGUCAGGGCGUUUGUCUAAUAAGCCCAAGGUCGUAGGUUUGACCACUGCCAGCGCCA
RNAcentral lists this transfer RNA (74 nucleotides) under Enterobius vermicularis (human pinworm). It matches the Rfam family "tRNA". From Rfam's summary of the family: Transfer RNA (tRNA) molecules are approximately 80 nucleotides in length. Their secondary structure includes four short double-helical elements and three loops (D, anti-codon, and T loops). Further hydrogen bonds mediate the characteristic L-shaped molecular structure. tRNAs have two regions of fundamental functional importance: the anti-codon, which is responsible for specific mRNA codon recognition, and the 3' end, to which the tRNAs corresponding amino acid is attached (by aminoacyl-tRNA synthetases). tRNAs cope with the degeneracy of the genetic code in two manners: having more than one tRNA (with a specific anti-codon) for a particular amino acid; and 'wobble' base-pairing, i.e. permitting non-standard base-pairing at the 3rd anti-codon position. The record is from Rfam by way of RNAcentral. Lineage: Eukaryota; Metazoa; Nematoda; Chromadorea; Rhabditida; Oxyuridae.